UACGGAGGGGGCAAGCGUUGUCCGGAAUCAUUGGGCGUAAAGCGCGUGUAGGCGGCCCGGUAAGUCCGCUGUGAAAGUCCAGGGCUCAACCCUGGGAUGCCGGUGGAUACUGUCGGGCUCGAGUCCGGAAGAGGCGAGUGGAAUUCCUGGUGUAGCGGUGAAAUGCGCAGAUAUCAGGAGGAACACCAAUGGCGAAGGCAGCUCGCUGGGACGUGACUGACGCUGAGACGCGAAAGCGUGGGGAGCAAACAGG
Molecule: ribosomal RNA, 253 nt
Filed under: uncultured bacterium
Lineage: Bacteria
Description: partial 16S ribosomal RNA
Rfam family: Bacterial small subunit ribosomal RNA
Source: RNAcentral